CCAUAGCCUAGCAUUCAACUACAAUCGAUGGCAAUUUGGUGGCAAGGUAAUGGCGAGGGUAAACCAUACUACCUGGGAUUUAUACCUAGCAUAGAAGUACGAGUAAUAGUCCUAUCAAUGCAUCUCUACCAACAACACUAAUGCAUAAGUAUCUUAAAACAACAAUAAUAAUGGGAUAUGAUCAAAGUGAACUUGCCUUGUCCAAGGUUGUGAUAGUUCUCGCACUCUUUGCAACAACAAGGAAUACACUCCACACAAUCUAAAAAUAAAAGAAACAUGCACACAAUAAACACAACAUUCAAUGCAAAAAUCAUGUCAUGAUACAUAUGCUAUGAUGAUGCACACAAAGGUUACUUUUAGUGUAACAAGUUUUGUUUCUGUUUUGAAAAGUUUUCAAAUGAUUUGGACAGAUUAUACAAUACCAAAGAGGUAAUUAAUAUGCAUGAAACAAGAAUAGGGUUUAAAUCAAAGAUUGUGUGGUUUUUGCAACAUAGAACAAGAUUUAAACUUGUAAGCCAUUUUUAUUCACAAAAUAAUUUCUUUUCUGGUCCUAAUGGACAGAGAACAAGUUUAAAUAAUUUUACAGCAAGAUAACAUGCUCAAAACUAUUUUGAAACAAUUCAUUUGAAAUUUAAACCAUAAACCACCAUUCUGUAAAUAGCUACUAUUUAAGUUGCUCAAAACUGAAAUUAAACAGUGCCAUAAUAUUCUACACGUUGUGACGAUUCCAGAGAGGUGUGGAUCACAAUUUUUGGACAAACGGUUUCAAAGAUAUGAGGCUUUGAAGACACAGGGGCUUUUCUGCAAAAUUGCAUUAUCCAAUCCGGCCGAAUUAAAAUAAAAUAAAAUAAAAAAUAAAUGCUCUGCCACGUGGCAGCGCACUGUUGGCCGGGAUCUAGGGUUCUGGCCGGCAGCGGCGCGGGUAGGCGGCGCGGCGGCGGGCGGCACAGGCGAC
RNAcentral lists this long non-coding RNA (955 nucleotides) under Brachypodium distachyon (stiff brome). RNAcentral's name for it is "long non-coding RNA (BDIS_LNC003480)". Lineage: Eukaryota; Viridiplantae; Streptophyta; Magnoliopsida; Poales; Poaceae. The record is from RNAcentral.